This 253-nucleotide ribosomal RNA is filed under the name uncultured bacterium. Its description in RNAcentral is "partial 16S ribosomal RNA". It matches the Rfam family "Bacterial small subunit ribosomal RNA", at positions 524 to 776 of the family's 1533-position model. The record is from RNAcentral.
UACGGAGGAUGCAAGCGUUAUCCGGAAUGAUUGGGCGUAAAGCGUCCGCAGGUGGCGAUGUAAGUCUGCUGUUAAAGAGUGAGGCUCAACCUCAUAAGAGCAGUGGAAACUACAUAGCUAGAGUGCGGUAGGGGCAGAGGGAAUUCCUGGUGUAGCGGUGAAAUGCGUAGAGAUCAGGAAGAACACCGGUGGCGAAAGCGAUCUGCUAGGCCGCAACUGACACUGAGGGACGAAAGCUAGGGGAGCAAAUGGG